Molecule: microRNA precursor, 59 nt
Filed under: Nomascus leucogenys (northern white-cheeked gibbon)
Lineage: Eukaryota; Metazoa; Chordata; Mammalia; Primates; Hylobatidae
Description: microRNA nle-mir-4670 precursor
Source: miRBase by way of RNAcentral
GCAACCAUGAUGUAACUUCACAGACUCUCCAAAAGUCUGAAGUUACAUGAUGGUCGCUU